This 253-nucleotide ribosomal RNA is filed under the name uncultured bacterium. RNAcentral describes it as "partial 16S ribosomal RNA". It matches the Rfam family "Bacterial small subunit ribosomal RNA", at positions 524 to 776 of the family's 1533-position model. The record is from RNAcentral.
UACGUAGGGUGCGAGCGUUGUCCGGAAUUACUGGGCGUAAAGAGCUCGUAGGUGGUUUGUCGCGUUGUUCGUGAAAACUCACAGCUCAACUGUGGGCGUGCGGGCGAUACGGGCAGACUAGAGUACUGCAGGGGAGACUGGAAUUCCUGGUGUAGCGGUGGAAUGCGCAGAUAUCAGGAGGAACACCGGUGGCGAAGGCGGGUCUCUGGGCCGAUACUGGCGCUGAGGAGCGAAAGCGUGGGGAGCGAACAGG